RNAcentral lists this ribosomal RNA (497 nucleotides) under uncultured bacterium. RNAcentral describes it as "partial 16S ribosomal RNA". It matches the Rfam family "Bacterial small subunit ribosomal RNA", at positions 28 to 507 of the family's 1533-position model. The record is from RNAcentral.
GAUGAACGCUGGCGGCGUGCCUAAUACAUGCAAGUCGAGCGAACAGACGAGGAGCUUGCUCCUCUGACGUUAGCGGCGGACGAGUGAGUAACACGUGGAUAACCUACCUAUAAGACUGGGAUAACUUCUGGAAACCGGAGCUAAUACCGGAUAAUAUAUUGAACCGCAUGGUUCCAUAGUGAAAGACGGUUUUGCUGUCACUUAUAUAUGGAUCCGCGCCGCAUUAGCUAGUUGGUAAGGUAACGGCUUACCAAGGCGACGAUGCGUAGCCGACCUGAGAGGGUGAUCGGCCACACUAGAACGGGGACAGGGUCCAGACUACUAAGGGAGGCAGCAGUAGGGAAUCUGACGCAAUGGGCGAAAGCCUGACGGAGCAAGGCCGCGUGAGUGAUGAAGGUCUUCGGAUCGUAAAAAUCUGUUAUUAGGGAAGAACAAAUGUGUAAGUAAAUAUGCACGUCUUGACGGUACCUAAUCAGAAAGCCACGGCUAACUACGUG